Long non-coding RNA from Gallus gallus (chicken), 327 nucleotides. NCBI's taxonomy places the organism in Eukaryota, Metazoa, Chordata, Aves, Galliformes, Phasianidae. The record is from Ensembl.
GCAACAGACACAUCUGUGCCCUCUGCUCCCUUGUUUCUAUCCCAAUGCAGGACCCUGAGAUGAUGAAUAUGAUUGCGUUUAAAGGCAAAAACAAAUUUACUCGACGCAGUGAGGAUGGCUGCAUCAUCAUACCAAAGAUUGGAGUUGAGGGCUCAAAGACCAGCCGAGAAAUUACUUCCCUCAAGCCCCGAAGAGAGUCUCAGCCGUGGGGCGGGGGUGCCCGAAGAGUGAGCGUGUAUGAUCCGGUGGUGCUGGCUCGGCGCAGGGCAUCUCAAGCUGUGAGGGAAGAGAGAAAACAAAAGGAGCAGGAGAAGAAAAAGCAAGGAG